This 460-nucleotide ribosomal RNA is filed under the name uncultured bacterium. Its description in RNAcentral is "partial 16S ribosomal RNA". It matches the Rfam family "Bacterial small subunit ribosomal RNA", at positions 338 to 795 of the family's 1533-position model. The record is from RNAcentral.
CCUACGGGAGGCUGCCGUGAGGAAUAUUGGUCAAUGGACGAGAGUCUGAACCAGCCAAGUAGCGUGAAGGAUGACUGCCCUAUGGGUUGUAAACUUCUUUUAUAAAGGAAUAAAACGAGGCACGUGUGCCUUUUUGCAUGUACUUUAUGAAUAAGGAUCGGCUAACUCCGUGCCAGCAGCCGCGGUAAUACGGAGGAUCCGAGCGUUAUCCGGAUUUAUUGGGUUUAAAGGGUGCGUAGACGGGUUGUUAAGUCAGUUGUGAAAGUUUGGGGCUCAACCGGAAAAUUGCAUUUGAUACUGGCAGUCUAGAGUACAGUUGAGGUAGGCGGAAUUCGUGGUGUAGCGGUGAAAUGCUUAGAUAUCACGAAGAACCCCGAUUGCGAAGGCAGCUUACUAAACUGUGACUGACGUUGAUGCACGAAAGUGUGGGUAUCAAACAGGAUUAGAUACCCCAGUAGUC